ACGACUGCUAAUACCGCAUAAGACCACAGUACCGCAUGGUACAGUGAUCAAAGGAUUUAUUCGCUGAAGGAUGGCUUCGCGUCCGAUUAGGUAGUUGGUGAGGUAACGGCCCACCAAGCCUACGAUCGGUAGCCGGACUGAGAGGUUGAUCGGCCACAUUGGGACUGAGACACGGCCCAGACUCCUACGGGAGGCAGCAUG
This 201-nucleotide ribosomal RNA is filed under the name uncultured bacterium. RNAcentral's name for it is "partial 16S ribosomal RNA". It matches the Rfam family "Bacterial small subunit ribosomal RNA", at positions 156 to 353 of the family's 1533-position model. The record is from RNAcentral.